GGUAGUGUGGCCGAGUGGUCUAAGGCGCUGGAUUUAGACUCCAGUCUUUUAGGAGGCUUGGGUUCAAAUCCCACCACUGCCA
Cyclopterus lumpus (lumpfish) is the source of this 82-nucleotide non-coding RNA. NCBI's taxonomy places the organism in Eukaryota, Metazoa, Chordata, Actinopteri, Perciformes, Cyclopteridae. The record is from the annotation of a RefSeq genome assembly.